This 240-nucleotide long non-coding RNA is filed under the name Medicago truncatula (barrel medic). Its description in RNAcentral is "long non-coding RNA (MTRU_LNC008875)". Lineage: Eukaryota; Viridiplantae; Streptophyta; Magnoliopsida; Fabales; Fabaceae. The record is from RNAcentral.
GCAUUUUCAUCAUGUAUUAGAGUUAGAAUUAUAAUUAAAAGCAUACUAUUAAGCAGCACAUAAUUCCUCAUCAUUUUAGUGCACAACCAGUGGAGAGGAAGGGUCAAGCUACAUGAACACUACUUGUGCCAUACAACCUAGUUAUGACCACUGGUUGAGUGUCCAUUCCCUCCUAGAUGGGCUCAUGAACCAUCUCCAAUCUUCAUGCACACUUUCUCCCCAAUGAUUGCAGAGUAAACG